ACACCAAUGCACAUUGAAAAAAAAAAAAAAAAAAAACAAAGCCCCCAAACUCAAGGCCACAACUGCUCCUUUUUUUGACUUUUCAAAAAUUAUUUACUUAUGUCUAUGAGUCCUCUGUCAUUUACAUAUAGUCCUGCAUGCCAGGAGAGGGAAUCAAAUCAAAUAGAUGUUGUGAGCCACCAUGUGGGUGCUGGGAAUUGAACUCAGGACCUCUGGAAGAACAGCCAGCACUUUUAACCACUGAGUCAUCUCUCUAGGCCCUUUUCUGACUUUAACAUUAGCAUUUCCUGACCAAGAGAAUGCAGAAAAACAUUGUGGAGUUCAGAAGCUACAAGUCUAACCCACUGUGGGUCUAUGCUCCAGUUAUCUGUGAGUGGCUGGAUUGGUACAAAAACAAACAAACAAACAAACAAACCAACCUGUCAUACAUUAGAAUAAUUUGGAGGAUCUCUCUGAAUUUGAGGAAUAUAUAUAUAUAUAAUUUUUCCCCCUACAAAGUUGCAGCCUUUGAUUUUAGACACUGGAUUUGAAUUCUGGCUCUCUGGCUUUAUCCCAGUCAGUCUUCCCCGUUAUUUUGUGUUCUUGGGUGAACCACAAAGACAAAACAGUCCACAGAAAUUCACACAGUGGAAAGUGGGCUUAGGACAGAAACUUCACCCAUACUGAAAGUCGGGAUUCUGUACACCAGGUUAAAGCUCCUCUUAGGCUCUCUUCAAGAGUCAAAGCUAAGUUUUAAGUUUUAAUUACUGAACCUAAGAGAUCCAUAAGACAAAAUGUCUGUAGCCUGGAACCCCCUGGCCCAAGGACACAUAUUUCCUGAAAUACUGGAGGUCAUGGUUUAAGGCAGAUUCCCACCCAAGCGUUUUCACCUCCCUAAACAAGUUUGACCCAACCGCACUUGAUCACUCUAGCUUGGAGGUACGAGUGGGCAGGAAGAAUACUUGCUCCUGAUUGGAUGUAGGUGGGAGGUACACUUACACUUGCCCCUCAUUGGAGCUGAGGGGAAAUAUAGAGGUCUUACAGUUUAACCUUUUUAAGCCUCUGCAAAAUGUGACUCCAGGCCAUUUCCCCGGGAAUCCUGGAAGGGUCUGGGCCAGGUCCAUUAUUUAACUAAAGCUUGCUUCAAAUUUGUCUUAAAAAUUGUGAAACUGGCCUUUCUCUCUCAACUCUCAGGCUUAACAACUCUUGCUUACAUUAUUAAUUUACAAAACUUCAGGACAGCCAGGCUCAGACAGGUCUGGAGAAACGUGGCUAGUACCCUGGCAGUACAGUUAACAAGGCUGCUGCCCUGGUGGCUGACGUCACUCAUAACACCCCUCCCUCCACCCUGGCGUGGGGAGGGGAAGCACCAGCAAGUAGAGAGAAGCAGCCCUAGCCAUGGAAAAGUGUCGUGAAAUGAUGUCUCAGGCUUAGCGAUCAGUCCCAACAGGAUUUGCCACUGCCCAAUGCCAGAUUCCCUGCUGAGCAAGCAGAGCUCUAUCUAAAAGAAUGGUAAUGGAAGGGCCGUGUCACCGGGUGGAGGCAAGGGCUUUGGCUUAGAAUACUGGUUCAAACUCACAGGGGUAGCUGGUUGUGCCACCACUCGGAGGGAGAACAAGAGAUGUUACCCAAUAUCUUGGAGUCUCAGUUUCUUCCUUGAGAGGAGGAUUGACCAAACAAACUACUUUCCAAUGGGUGUGUUCAAUGGAGAUGUUCUUGGGAACUGGAAGGAUGCCAUUUUCCUAAGACAGGAUUGCAUUUGGAUUCUUUUUUUUAAAGGAGAAAAUAUAAGAACAAACAAUGCAGACCUGGUGUCCAUACAGGUAAGCUGAGGGACUCUUCCUGUGCUCUCAGAUAUGGUGGCCCGUGUAUGACUACCCACACAGAGUCAGGACACCAGGUUAGUGAGCCAAGAGCCAGCUUACUUUUCAAGAGACCAGGGGUGGGUGGGUGCGUUGAGUGGGGACUUCUAAAAAGUUCCUCUUUCUCUCUAUCCUACUCAAAACCAAGGACUGCACAUCCCUUUAAGGCAGCAGAAGACUUGUGUGACGGCCUGUAACUGAACCAGUGGGAAGAGGAGGAAUUUUGAGAGAUGACAGAUACCAUGCAUUGAGGACGUAGAACCUGAAGCCUUCAGGACGGGCUGCGAUUGGUGAGUUCUCUAGUUUUUAAUCUGUUUUUGAGAAGGAGAGAGAUGAUAAGAUUGCAUCUCUGCGGCUGAAGGGGAACUAGAACCUGUGGUUAUUCUCAGUUCCCAGUCUUUAAAGUUGGGUGGGGAAUGAGCGCGCACACUGGCUCAUGAACAAAGCUCUGUGAAGAAAUCCCACAGACGAUGGAUGGGCUUCUCAGCAGUCUACGCUCCCUGCGGGUUGAGACUGGACAGCCGAUAUGCACUGUCGCUGACGUUGGGCACUGAAACCGGGACCCGCUCUGGGUGGUGAUGGGUGCUGGGAGGCAGCCGUUUGUGGUUCUUCGCCCGGGCACAGAAGUGUACUACUUCCUAAUCUCUGCCUUCGAAAGGCUUUGUGGGCUUCAAACUCUCCGGGUUUGAAGCAGAUAUGUUGUAUUUAAAACCCGGAAGACUGACAUAAAGGGUUUUCUCUGAAGAUUACAGGAAUGAGCUGACUUCCUGGUUCAGGGACCGCCCAGCUGGUAAAGGAAAUGCAGAUUCUGGCCAUGUGCUGAUGGCCACCAGGAAGACUGCUGUUCAGAGCGUGUAACAGACACUCAUUCAUGCUAGAAGAAAUCCCAGCUGCCCACUCUUUUGGGAAUGAGAGGUUCGAGCCACAAACUGCACAAUGGAAGCAUGACUUGGGAGUCUUACUGAAUUCUCCUCCAGUGGCCAGGAAGAACAGCCUUUGCUAAUUACCUAGAGGAGUUCACAGGCCUCCGGAGACACGGACACAUACACCAUGAGAGGCAUGACACGCACUGCCUAGGUUUUCCCUGACAAGAAACAAACCGAACCCUGGUUCAAACAACACAAAACUAUCUUCCAAGUCGACAGCAGGUGGACCAAUGAGAAGACGGCUGUGACAGCUGGAAGGAGCACUCGCUGUUCUCAUGAGCUCUCAGGCUGCUCACCUGUGAACAGCUGGACACUCGAGGUAAGUUUCCCACGCGCCGACAGGCACUACAAUGUCUGCACUUAGCUCUGCAGAAUGAACCCAUGAAUAGACGCCCUUCUCCUAGGGAUUUAAACCAUGUUUUAUAUUUAAAUCUUGCAAUGUUGAACAGCAUCCUUGUCUUAUUUCUAUUGCUGCCCUGACCAAAAGCAACACUGAGGAGAAGAGGUCUAAUAAGACUCAGAACUCCAGUUUACAGUCCAUUGUGGGGGAAGCCAAGACAGGAACCUGAGGCAUCAUGGACCCAUAACAAAUUCAAGCAUCAGUUUUUAUCUACAAAAUGUGACAGUAAUACACACACACACACACACACACACACACACACACACACACAGAGAGAGAGAGAGAGAGAGAGAGAAACAAGUGUGCAUGGAGAUGCUGAGGUGAGAGUAAGUCAGAACUGGAGUUGGGGAGUAUCUCAGUGGUACCAGGUGAGCAUGCAGGGAGCCUCGGGCUCCACCCCCACUGCUGCAAACUAGAAUUAAAGAAAAUAGCUGGACAGCAAACAGUGAAAAGGAUUCUCAGUAAAUGCCCCCUGUUUUAAAUUUAGCUAUUGGAGUUAACCUUUAGAUACUGCAUUUAUCUAAAGGUUAUAUAAAAGCACAUUCUUUGGUUUAGAUAAAGCUCAGUAAAAUUCCGGGAUGUUAGUCUCAUUCUAUUAACCAAGACUCCAGUCUAGUACUGGGCCUGCUCAGGUUGGGGAACACAGAAAUCAGUCAUGGAUCUCUCUUAGGGAGUUACCACCUCAGGGGAAGCUAGUUCUACAACUGAAUCAGAGCCACGUGGGACAUACUCAUUGGGAAAGUGGUUCCUGACCUGCUGUGGCUGCAGCAGAGAAGGCGGCAGAAGCCUCCAGACCUGGAUGAGGAACAGAGCUGAAACCGACAAGAACUGCAGUGAAGCCCCUGCACCAUCUCCUGGCCUUUGAAGGCUCCAGAGCCCAGCCUUCCUACUGCGCAGUUAGUGGCUCUCCUGAAGAAUAGACAGAGUUGCCAAGAGUUACAGUCGCCCCACGCAAGGUCAGAAAAGGAGAAAAAAAAGAAUACUUAUCGGUGACAUUGGGAGUGUGAAGGUUUGCCAAUCCCGCAGAAGAUUCACUCCUUAGCAAUACAGCUGACAUUCUAAAAACAUCUUUCCAUUUUACACUGCAUUUUCUCCAGUGACACUUUUGAUUUUAUCAGUAGCACAGGAUGUUACGUACUAGAGACAAACUGCCCACCACCAAGCCACAGUA
Molecule: small RNA, 4338 nt
Filed under: Rattus norvegicus (Norway rat)
Lineage: Eukaryota; Metazoa; Chordata; Mammalia; Rodentia; Muridae
Description: uncharacterized LOC108352583
Source: RNAcentral